CAGCUAGUGUGUUGACCGUGAAGUACACAGACACCAGAAAUAGCCAUCAUUCAGGUUCAAUAAGUCACAAACUUGUAGACGGUCAAAGAUUGCAUGACCUCCAGCUCCAACAAUUUAUAAACUCAAAAAUUGAUAGUAAAGGAGUCAAGGCAGGCUGCUGCCCACAUCUUUCUAAAACCACCAAUGCCCAUAGCCCCAUACCCUAGUUCUAGUUGUGGCUCAUUUUAGCAACUUAUUUGUCAGUUAAUUUACAAAAUGGAAAUUAAAUUACA
Molecule: non-coding RNA, 272 nt
Organism: Arachis ipaensis
Lineage: Eukaryota; Viridiplantae; Streptophyta; Magnoliopsida; Fabales; Fabaceae
Source: RefSeq, a predicted model, not a curated record